Molecule: ribosomal RNA, 438 nt
Filed under: Escherichia coli
Lineage: Bacteria; Pseudomonadati; Pseudomonadota; Gammaproteobacteria; Enterobacterales; Enterobacteriaceae
Also listed under: 1 other name
Description: bacterial SSU rRNA
Rfam family: Bacterial small subunit ribosomal RNA
Source: RNAcentral
CGCAACGAGCGCAACCCUUAUCCUUUGUUGCCAGCGGUCCGGCCGGGAACUCAAAGGAGACUGCCAGUGAUAAACUGGAGGAAGGUGGGGAUGACGUCAAGUCAUCAUGGCCCUUACGACCAGGGCUACACACGUGCUACAAUGGCGCAUACAAAGAGAAGCGACCUCGCGAGAGCAAGCGGACCUCAUAAAGUGCGUCGUAGUCCGGAUUGGAGUCUGCAACUCGACUCCAUGAAGUCGGAAUCGCUAGUAAUCGUGGAUCAGAAUGCCACGGUGAAUACGUUCCCGGGCCUUGUACACACCGCCCGUCACACCAUGGGAGUGGGUUGCAAAAGAAGUAGGUAGCUUAACCUUCGGGAGGGCGCUUACCACUUUGUGAUUCAUGACUGGGGUGAAGUCGUAACAAGGUAACCGUAGGGGAACCUGCGGUUGGAUCAC